UCAUCUUCGGGGGUAGAGCACUGUUUCGGCUAGGGGGUCAUCCCGACUUACCAACCCGAUGCAAACUACGAAUACCGAAGAAUGUUAUCACGGGAGACACACGGCGGGUGCUAACGUCCGUCGUGAAGAGGGAAACAACCCAGACCGCCAGCUAAGGUCCCAAAGUCAUGGUUAAGUGGGAAACGAUGUGGGAAGGCACAGACAGCCAGGAUGUUGGCUUAGAAGCAGCCAUCAUUUAAAGAAAGCGUAAUAGCUCACUGGUCGAGUCGGCCUGCGCGGAAGAUGUAACGGGGCUAAACCAUGCACCGAAGCUGCGGCAGCGACACUAUGUGUUGUUGGGUAGGGGAGCGUUCUGUAAGCCUGCGAAGGUGUGCUGUGAGGCAUGCUGGAGGUAUCAGAAGUGCGAAUGCUGACAUAAGUAACGAUAAAGCGGGUGAAAAGCCCGCUCGCCGGAAGACCAAGGGUUCCUGUCCAACGUUAAUCGGGGCAGGGUGAGUCGACCCCUAAGGCGAGGCCGAAAGGCGUAGUCGAUGGGAAACAGGUUAAUAUUCCUGUACUUGGUGUUACUGCGAAGGGGGGACGGAGAAGGCUAUGUUAGCCGGGCGACGGUUGUCCCGGUUUAAGCAUGUAGGCUGAUUAUCCAGGCAAAUCCGGAUAAUCAAGGCUGAGGUGUGAUGACGAGGCACUACGGUGCUGAAGUAACAAAUGCCCUGCUU
Molecule: ribosomal RNA, 716 nt
Filed under: Klebsiella pneumoniae
Lineage: Bacteria; Pseudomonadati; Pseudomonadota; Gammaproteobacteria; Enterobacterales; Enterobacteriaceae
Description: partial 23S ribosomal RNA
Rfam family: Bacterial large subunit ribosomal RNA
Source: RNAcentral